Molecule: ribosomal RNA, 232 nt
Filed under: uncultured bacterium
Lineage: Bacteria
Description: partial 16S ribosomal RNA
Rfam family: Bacterial small subunit ribosomal RNA
Source: RNAcentral
GUAUCAUGGCUCAGAUUGAACGCUGGCGGCAGGCCUAACACAUGCAAGUCGAACGGUAACAGGAAGAAGCUUGCUUCUUUGCUGACGAGUGGCGGACGGGUGAGUAAUGUCUGGGAAACUGCCUGAUGGAGGGGGAGUAACUACUGGAAACGGUAGCUAAUACCGCAUAACGUCGCAAGACCAAAGAGGGGGACCUGGCGUCUGCAUCGAUGUGCCACGAUAGGGAGUUAGC